RNAcentral lists this non-coding RNA (26 nucleotides) under Homo sapiens (human). The record is from RNAcentral. Lineage: Eukaryota; Metazoa; Chordata; Mammalia; Primates; Hominidae.
UCCAACUCAGCAAGGGGCGCCUGGUC